This 253-nucleotide ribosomal RNA is filed under the name uncultured bacterium. RNAcentral's name for it is "partial 16S ribosomal RNA". It matches the Rfam family "Bacterial small subunit ribosomal RNA", at positions 524 to 776 of the family's 1533-position model. The record is from RNAcentral.
UACGUAGGGAGCAAGCGUUGUUCGGAUUCAUUGGGCGUAAAGGGUGCGUAGGCGGCGCGGUAAGUCGGGUGUGAAAUCUUGGAGCUUAACUCCGAAACUGCAUUCGAUACUGCCGUGCUUGAGGACUGGAGAGGAGACUGGAAUUUACGGUGUAGCGGUGAAAUGCGUAGAUAUCGUAAGGAAGACCAGUGGCGAAGGCGGGUCUCUGGACAGUUCCUGACGCUGAGGCACGAAGGUCAGGGGAGCAAACGGG